AAUCUACAAAACCGGUCUCAGUUCGGAUCGCAGUCUGCAACUCGACUGCGUGAAGCUGGAAUCGCUAGUAAUCGCGCAUCAGCCAUGGCGCGGUGAAUACGUUCCCGGGCCUUGUACACACCGCCCGUCAAGCCAUGGAAGUCUGGGGACCUGAAGACGGUAACCGCAAGGAGCCGUUAAGGGUAAAACAGGUAACUAGGGCUAAGUCGUAACAAGGUAUC
RNAcentral lists this ribosomal RNA (221 nucleotides) under uncultured bacterium. RNAcentral's name for it is "partial 16S ribosomal RNA". It matches the Rfam family "Bacterial small subunit ribosomal RNA", at positions 1270 to 1500 of the family's 1533-position model. The record is from RNAcentral.